Molecule: long non-coding RNA, 597 nt
Organism: Chenopodium quinoa (quinoa)
Lineage: Eukaryota; Viridiplantae; Streptophyta; Magnoliopsida; Caryophyllales; Amaranthaceae
Exons: 3
Source: RefSeq, a predicted model, not a curated record
AAGAGAGAAGAGCAAGAAAUCAGAAUCUUAUGGAAGUGAAUUUAUAAUAAUGAUAAGGUGGCAGAGUUGAUUAAAGGAAAAAUUCUUGUUGGUUGAUUGUGAAUUAGUGCCCCUCCUCCCCUGACACUUAUAGUAUAAUUUGUUGAUUAUAUCUGCAUCCUACUUUUGAAACUAUAAUGUCAACUAAUCUAUAUCUUAACAGUUAUCAGGCACUUUUACUAAGUCAUCCAAUGAAAGACAUGGUGAUAUUGCAGAAUACCAGCCAUUUAUAAAAGCUUUCUUUAAGCUUCAACAAUGGGGAUGACGCAUCUGAUCCUCUCAUGGCUCUUAAGUAUAUUGACAAAGCUAAUGAUCGAAAAGCUUAGGGGAAGAAGGAUUUCAUAUAUAUGUUACCGGAUGCCGUCAACCAACUGACGACAUUGAUGAUUUAUCUGGAUUGAAGAUCUAUGAUAUUGGUAUAUCUAAGCUAGAUUAUACUUUUUAAUUUAUUUUUAUCAACAUUAAUAAGAAAGGUGUUUUGAUAAAUAUAUAUAUCUUGUAUUUGUAUAGAACAAAUUUUCAAAUGAAUGAUUAAAUUUAAUUGUUGGAUGUCUUAAA